GUAAUUAUAGUUUAAUAAAAACAUUAGAUUGUGGUUCUAAAAACAAAAGUUAAACCCUUUUUAAUUACC
Molecule: transfer RNA, 69 nt
Filed under: Hypanus berthalutzae
Lineage: Eukaryota; Metazoa; Chordata; Chondrichthyes; Myliobatiformes; Dasyatidae
Also listed under: 1 other name
Description: tRNA-His
Rfam family: tRNA
About the family: Transfer RNA (tRNA) molecules are approximately 80 nucleotides in length.
Source: RNAcentral